RNAcentral lists this ribosomal RNA (279 nucleotides) under uncultured bacterium. RNAcentral describes it as "partial 16S ribosomal RNA". It matches the Rfam family "Bacterial small subunit ribosomal RNA", at positions 506 to 784 of the family's 1533-position model. The record is from RNAcentral.
UGCCAGCCGCCGCGGUAACACGAACCGUACAAACGUUAUUCGGAAUCACUGGGCUUAAAGAGUGCGUAGGCGGCUUGGCAGGUUGGGUGUGAAAUCCCUCGGCUCAACCGAGGAAUUGCGCUCAAAACCGCCAAGCUUGAGUGAGAUAGGGGAGAGCGGAACUGAUGGUGGAGCGGUGAAAUGCGUUGAUAUCAUCAGGAACACCGGUGGCGAAGGCGGCUCUCUGGAUCUUUACUGACGCUGAGGCACGAAAGCUAGGGGAGCGAACGGGAUUAGAUA